UACGUAGGGUGCGAGCGUUAAUCGGAAUUACUGGGCGUAAAGCGUGCGUAGGCGGUUGCAUAAGCUUGAUGUGAAAGCCCCGGGCUUAACCUGGGAAUGGCAUUGAGGACUGUGUGGCUUGAGUGCGGCAGAGGGAGGUGGAAUUCCACGUGUAGCAGUGAAAUACGUAGAGAUGUGGAGGAACACCGAUGGCGAAGGCAGCCUCCUGGGCCGACACUGACGCUGAGGGCACGAAAGCGUGGGGAGCAAACAGG
Molecule: ribosomal RNA, 254 nt
Filed under: uncultured bacterium
Lineage: Bacteria
Description: partial 16S ribosomal RNA
Rfam family: Bacterial small subunit ribosomal RNA
Source: RNAcentral